AAGCGUCUUAUUGUCAUAAUAUCUGCUCCUGGAACAUUGAUGAAGGUCCAAGCAAGACGGUCAGAUGGUGGAAUCAAAGAGGGCUAGCAGUCUGCAACCUUUAGAAGGGCAAUUGUUGGCAAGUGGAUAGAAGCAGAAAUGGUAGUGAGAGUGGAAGAAACGUGUGCUGUCCAUCCAGGAGAAGUCUGUCUUCUGCAGUGACUCUUUUUACAGUCACUCGGACAGCAUCCAAGAAGAACUCAAGCACAUCUCAAGAGCCCUCAAGCACAACGGUUACCAAGAUCACUGACUGUCGGGUCUCCUAUACCCAAAGUCAACCACCUUCGUACAAGGCAACAGUGACCCUACCCUACAUAGGAAAUGCAUCCCACAAGAUCCACCGCAUCCUUCACCAAGAAACUUCAAGCCACCCCGCAGACCCACAAGAACAAGCAAGACCAUCAGACGAAAGCUGGUGGGAAGGUUUAUUUUGGCAAGACUGGGCGGGAUUUGCCCACCAGACUCAUAGAACACAUCUCCCAUGGACGCAGAGUUGACUACGAUAAAUCAGCGAUUGUCAAGGAUCACGUCAUCAACUGGCAAGCAGCUCAACUCAUCGCUCCGGUCAAAAGAUGGUACCCAAGACGCGUCGGGGAAGCAGUCGAGACCUACAACCACGACACAGUACCCCAAGACGUCGGCUCCUACAUCAGCAGCAUUUAACACUCCAUAUUACCCUCCCAGACCAAUGGGUCAUCUAUACCCACAGUCACUCAUGCAUCAGUGAGCGCACUCAAUAGCCUCUCAGUCCAGCAGAUCCACCAUCAAGCAAGCCAAUUCUGUUCCAGUGCACCCUUAGCAUCCUCUCCAGCGCUUAAAAAACAGCAUCCUCAGAGCCAGGCAACCUGUCACCCUCCUAAAGACGAACAGAGCACACUGUCCAGAACGUCGAGUAUUCACCAUCGGUUCUUCUCAGAACCACACACUCUUAAAAAAGAUAUUUUCUUGUUCAUGGUGCAACUUCAAGCCUAACCU
Molecule: long non-coding RNA, 1014 nt
Organism: Acanthaster planci (crown-of-thorns starfish)
Lineage: Eukaryota; Metazoa; Echinodermata; Asteroidea; Valvatida; Acanthasteridae
Source: RefSeq, a predicted model, not a curated record